This 654-nucleotide ribosomal RNA is filed under the name uncultured Modestobacter sp. RNAcentral describes it as "bacterial SSU rRNA". It matches the Rfam family "Bacterial small subunit ribosomal RNA", at positions 343 to 1006 of the family's 1533-position model. The record is from RNAcentral. Lineage: Bacteria; Bacillati; Actinomycetota; Actinomycetes; Geodermatophilales; Geodermatophilaceae.
GGGAGGCAGCAGUGGGGAAUAUUGCGCAAUGGGCGAAAGCCUGACGCAGNGACGCCGCGUGAGGGAUGACGGCCUUCGGGUUGUAAACCUCUUUCAGUAGGGACGAAGCGAAAGUGACGGUACCUACAGAAGAAGCACCGGCCAACUACGUGCCAGCAGCCGCGGUAAUACGUAGGGUGCAAGCGUUGUCCGGAAUUAUUGGGCGUAAAGAGCUCGUAGGCGGUCUGUCACGUCGGCUGUGAAAACCCGAGGCUCAACCUCGGGCCUGCAGUCGAUACGGGCAAACUAGAGUACUGCAGGGGAGACUGGAAUUCCUGGUGUAGCGGUGAAAUGCGCAGAUAUCAGGAGGAACACCGGUGGCGAAGGCGGGUCUCUGGGCAGUAACUGACGCUGAGGAGCGAAAGCGUGGGGAGCGAACAGGAUUAGAUACCCUGGUAGUCCACGCCGUAAACGUUGGGCGCUAGGUGUGGGGGCCAUUCCACGGUCUCCGUGCCGCAGCUAACGCAUUAAGCGCCCCGCCUGGGGAGUACGGCCGCAAGGCUAAAACUCAAAGGAAUUGACGGGGGCCCGCACAAGCGGCGGAGCAUGUUGCUUAAUUCGAUGCAACGCGAAGAACCUUACCUAGGCUUGACAUGCACGGAAAUCUGUCAGAGA